GUGCACACCAGUAGACCUUAUCUGGUUGCUCUAAUCGCCAGACGAGGGGGAUGGUGCAUGCUAUAAAAUCUGGGGGGUGCUGUAGGCUGUCGUCAGCCUCGUCGUGGCUGAUGGAACUGCAAUACUCCAACAUAC
Podiceps cristatus (great crested grebe) is the source of this 135-nucleotide non-coding RNA. Lineage: Eukaryota; Metazoa; Chordata; Aves; Podicipediformes; Podicipedidae. The record is from Rfam.